This 781-nucleotide ribosomal RNA is filed under the name Bacillus licheniformis. RNAcentral's name for it is "bacterial SSU rRNA". It matches the Rfam family "Bacterial small subunit ribosomal RNA", at positions 33 to 792 of the family's 1533-position model. The record is from RNAcentral. Lineage: Bacteria; Bacillati; Bacillota; Bacilli; Caryophanales; Bacillaceae.
GUGCAGGGGGGGCUGCUAAUACAUGCAGUCGAGCGGACCGACGGGAGCUUGCUCCCUUAGGUCAGCGGCGGACGGGUGAGUAACACGUGGGUAACCUGCCUGUAAGACUGGGAUAACUCCGGGAAACCGGGGCUAAUACCGGAUGCUUGAUUGAACCGCAUGGUUCAAUCAUAAAAGGUGGCUUUUAGCUACCACUUGCAGAUGGACCCGCGGCGCAUUAGCUAGUUGGUGAGGUAACGGCUCACCAAGGCGACGAUGCGUAGCCGACCUGAGAGGGUGAUCGGCCACACUGGGACUGAGACACGGCCCAGACUCCUACGGGAGGCAGCAGUAGGGAAUCUUCCGCAAUGGACGAAAGUCUGACGGAGCAACGCCGCGUGAGUGAUGAAGGUUUUCGGAUCGUAAAACUCUGUUGUUAGGGAAGAACAAGUACCGUUCGAAUAGGGCGGCACCUUGACGGUACCUAACCAGAAAGCCACGGCUAACUACGUGCCAGCAGCCGCGGUAAUACGUAGGUGGCAAGCGUUGUCCGGAAUUAUUGGGCGUAAAGCGCGCGCAGGCGGUUUCUUAAGUCUGAUGUGAAAGCCCCCGGCUCAACCGGGGAGGGUCAUUGGAAACUGGGGAACUUGAGUGCAGAAGAGGAGAGUGGAAUUCCACGUGUAGCGGUGAAAUGCGUAGAGAUGUGGAGGAACACCAGUGGCGAAGGGCGACUCUCUGGUCUGUAACUGACGCUGAGGCGCGAAAGCGUGGGGAAGCGAACAAGAAUUAGAUACCCUUGGUA